AUGGCGGCUGAAGCGGGAUCGUCUUCUGCAGGAGGAUCGGGGAAGAAGCUGGAGGAGCUGCUGCAGCACCUGGAUCUCAAGGAUGGUGAGUUGGAUGAUGUGAUAGUGGGAGAGGAGGAAUCAAAGAAGUACAAAGAAGAUGAGCGAUGGCUGGCGAUUGCGAAGGUGAACACGACCCGGAUUUUCAGUUCAUCAUUGAUGUUCGAAACCAUGAAAUCCAUAUGGGGAUUAGCACAAGUGCCAACAUACAGGGAGGCUGGUGUGAACCUCUAUAUCUUCCAAAUGUUCUGCCUGGGAGAUUGGAAGAAAUUUGUUCAUGGAGGACCCUGGCUGUUUAGAGGGAUGGGGAUGUUAAUUGAGGAUUACGAUGGCAAGCAAGAUCUUGCGUCUUUUGUCUUCGAUGGCUUGUAUGUCUGGGCGCAGAUCCACAAUAUACCAGAACUUUACCGCAAGCUUGAGGUGAUUGAUCAGCUAGUGCGUCGGACCGGCCAGGUCAAGGAGACGCAACUUUCUCCUAGACUAUUCUAUGAGGGUGACUAUGUAAGGUUCCAUGCUAGGGUUUUGGUGAAUAAACCCCUCACUAGGGUUACUCCUCUGAACGUCUUGGGCGAGGGCAGGAAAUUCCUCCCUAUCAAGUACGAGAAAAUACCCUAUUUGUGCCCAGUUUGUGGUCUUAUGGGUCACAACCAUGAGGAGUGUGGUGAUGGAGUUUGGGAGGAAAAAGACAAGCAAUGGGGAGGUUGGGUGUUGGCACAGCGACGGGAAAUAGCUCAGGAGCAGCCAGGCGGUGGCCGUGCUUUCUGGGGAGGCCGCUUUGGGGGCCGAGGUAGAGGAAGAUCAGGCCGGAGUGCCCCACCAGCCCGCCAACCAUCUCUAGCACGCAAGCGUACAUCUCAGGGGGAGGGCUUGGACUCUGGAGCAAACAAGGGAGAGGAAGAAGAUGUCACCAGCCCACUGAAACCAAUAGACACAGGUGGAAAGGAACAUGUGGGAGUCCUGGGGGCUCGAAGAAAUCUGAUUUUCACCACAACCAGCAUCACAUAG
This 1044-nucleotide ribosomal RNA is filed under the name Triticum aestivum (bread wheat). RNAcentral's name for it is "partial small subunit ribosomal RNA". Lineage: Eukaryota; Viridiplantae; Streptophyta; Magnoliopsida; Poales; Poaceae. The record is from RNAcentral.